GCAGCCAUGCAUUGGGCGGUGCCCGGCAGAGCCACUUCAGGGAACCAUGCUGAAGGGAUAGGCAUUUCCACCAUUCUUUGUUGGUCUCCUGUAGCCGCUUUGUCGCGAACUGCGUGAGGAAGACCCGGCCGGGUCCUCGGGACCUGAAACCUCCCGGAGCCGCAGUCUCCGCGCGGGCGGCCUGGGAAAGUCACAGUCACAGCGCAGUGGCGGGAACCGCAGCCCGGCGGCCCUGGAACCUCCCAGGUGUUUUCUUCUUUCGUUUUUGUUCCAUGAAAAGUUCCAAGUACAUUCUGAAGAAUCCCUUUCCCUUACAUAAGUGUCACAUUGCUCAGUGCGUUCUCCUCACCUGAGAAUCAGAACAAAGAACCCUGCAUGGUGAAGAGAGAGGAGACAGUAGCAAAGGAUCCAGAAACUCAGAGAAGAGCAACAAGAAGAAUGAAUGCUUCUGUGGUUAAUGCUCCCCAGAUGUACUUGCCAUGUCUACUACUGGCACAGCAUGAUUUUAAUGUGGAGGCUGAAGCAGGAGGACAUGGUGAGUGCCCUGCCAACCUGGGUUAUAUUGUGAGUUCCUAGGUGACCAUAGCUGUACUGUUGUGCUGUGUCUCAAAAACAUAAGAAAUGUUCUUUAUAUGAUCCUUCACAGAGCUUCUUUCUGGAAGUUCUUUACUGCUCAAACCUAUUUGUCUUACCAGCUGCAAUUUACAGCAUUUAGAUAAGAAUGAGAAGGCUGCAUGGCUCUGACCUAAGUCUUCUACAUAUGUAUGACAGUUGUUUAGUUUGGCUGUUUGUGAGACUCCUAGAAUACCAUCAGGGCCUUUCCCUGAUUCCUUGGCUUCAUAUUGGGAACUGUCCUCAGAGUGGGCUGCUUCACCCAGACUUAACACAAAGGGAGGAGCUUAGUCCUACCUAAACUUGAUUUCCAUGCUCUGUUGACACCCAUGGGAGGCCUGUCCCUUUCAGACCAGAA
This is a long non-coding RNA of Onychomys torridus (southern grasshopper mouse), 970 nucleotides long. RefSeq lists it as uncharacterized. The record is from RefSeq and is a predicted model, not a curated record. Lineage: Eukaryota; Metazoa; Chordata; Mammalia; Rodentia; Cricetidae. The transcript has 4 exons.